RNAcentral lists this ribosomal RNA (253 nucleotides) under uncultured bacterium. Its description in RNAcentral is "partial 16S ribosomal RNA". It matches the Rfam family "Bacterial small subunit ribosomal RNA", at positions 524 to 776 of the family's 1533-position model. The record is from RNAcentral.
UACGUAGGGGGCUAGCGUUGUCCGGAAUCAUUGGGCGUAAAGAGCGUGUAGGCGGCCCGGUAAGUCCGCUGUAAAAGUCAAAGGCUCAACCUUUGAAUGUCAGUGGAUACUGCCGGGCUAGAGUCCGGAAGAGGCGAGUGGAACUCCUGGUGUAGCGGUGGAAUGCGCAGAUAUCAGGAAGAACACCGGUGGCGAAGGCGGUUCUCUGGGCCGAUACUGACGCUGAGGAGCGAAAGCGUGGGGAGCGAACAGG